Molecule: non-coding RNA, 120 nt
Filed under: Sporolactobacillus laevolacticus
Lineage: Bacteria; Bacillati; Bacillota; Bacilli; Caryophanales; Sporolactobacillaceae
Also listed under: 1 other name
Description: SAM-I sequence
Rfam family: SAM riboswitch aptamer (S box leader)
About the family: The SAM riboswitch is found upstream of a number of genes which code for proteins involved in methionine or cysteine biosynthesis in Gram-positive bacteria.
Source: RNAcentral
CUCUUAUUCCGAGUAGGCAGAGGGACAGGCCCGAUGAAGCCCGGCAACCGGUCGAAUAGCGGCACGGUGCUAACCUGCAGAGAAAAGGGAAGGUUACGCUCUUUCUUCUGAUAAUAAGAG